Non-coding RNA from Artibeus jamaicensis (Jamaican fruit-eating bat), 538 nucleotides. The record is from the annotation of a RefSeq genome assembly. NCBI's taxonomy places the organism in Eukaryota, Metazoa, Chordata, Mammalia, Chiroptera, Phyllostomidae.
CCCUGACCCAGCAGCUCUGGGACAGGAGACCAGCAGGUUUCCCAGGUGUUCCCUACCCCUACUCAGGACAGAAUACAGACCACUCAACAUGGACUUUGGGCUCAGCUGGAUUUUCCUUGUUGCUCUUUUAAGAGGUGUCCAGUGUGAGGUGCAGCUGGUGGAGUCUGGGGGAGGCUUGGUGAAGCCUGGAGGUUCCCUCAAACUCUCCUGCCUGGCUUCUGGAUUCACCUUCAGUAGCAAUGAUAUGACCUGGGUCCGCCAGGCUCCAGGGAAGGGUCUGGAGUGGGUCGCAUACAUUAGGUAUGAUGGUGGUAGCAUAUACUAUGCCAACUCGGUGAAGGGCCGAUUCACCAUCUCCAGAGACAAUGGCAAGAACACACUCUACCUGCAAAUGAACAACCUGAGAGUCGAGGACACGGCCUUGUAUUACUGUGCAAGUGACACAGUGAAGGGAACUCAGUGUGAGCCCAGACAUAAACUUCUCUGUGGGAGACACAAGGGUUGGCUAGAAGGGAGCAUUCAGGACACCAGGGGGUGA